Molecule: long non-coding RNA, 966 nt
Filed under: Sus scrofa (pig)
Lineage: Eukaryota; Metazoa; Chordata; Mammalia; Artiodactyla; Suidae
Description: lncRNA (ENSSSCG00025025557.1, ENSSSCG00070009763.1)
Source: RNAcentral
UGUAACCAUCUCUCCAGCACAAGGACAGGUGGUGCCUCAUUCUCACAGCUGGUUUCUGACCAUGUAGUGCCAGUCAGUGACCUUGAGACAUGACCCUGCUCACCUGCGACAUGAAGGAGGAGGAGACCAGGGAUUUAUCAGCCACACCGACCCCCCUUGAUGGCUACAGGGAUCCAGGCGUGUUUGCCUCCUGGAAAUGUGCAGAAAAAUCCGUGACCCGUCUGAACCCACGUGGAGAAAACUGGAGGAGGAGUGAACUCAGGAUGGAUGAAUAAUGCCAAAGAUAAACACGUAAUAAAUAGGUAAAAACCCUUCCGUGGCUCCUCACUCUCCUCGGAAGACAGUCCAAACUUGAGAGUGGCCCUGUGGCCUUUGGGGGCCAGGCACAGACCAAGCUCGCACACCGAGGGGCUCGUCACCUUCUCUCCCUUGGACACACAGACUGGACUGAAUGGUGCCAGCUUCUCCUCUUUAGAACCUCACAUCCUCUGCCUGGCACACUGUCUCCUCUUCUUGUUACUUGCUAAAUGUCACUUCCUCCAGGAAGCCCUCCCUGCCUAAUUGACUUUAGUUCAAACCCCGGGCUCCCGCUGCACUUCUUUGUAGCCCUCGUCAUUGUAAUGAUCUAAAAAAAAUCUAAAAAAACCCAAAUGCACGCGAGUGUGUGUGUGUGUGUGUGUGUGUGUGUGUGUGUGUGAGACCCACACCCCUCCCCCCACUCGCAUGUGGCCUGGGUGAGCCCCUUUCUGUUGGAUUUUCCUGGCUGUGCCUGGCACCCAGGGAGAGCUCCGGAAAUGUUUCCUGAGUGAAUCCUGGACUGGGUGUAAUCUGACAUCCGACGUGCAGCCUGUUGAUCCGGUUGCCAGCAAUGCACCUGACUGGGUCACUCCUGAGUCUGGGAACUGAGUCUGGGAACCUGGGCACCCACAGCCCAGCCCCAUCCUCCGGCCUGAAGGCUCUGCCUGG